RNAcentral lists this long non-coding RNA (229 nucleotides) under Carica papaya (papaya). Its description in RNAcentral is "long non-coding RNA (CPAP_LNC010971)". Lineage: Eukaryota; Viridiplantae; Streptophyta; Magnoliopsida; Brassicales; Caricaceae. The record is from RNAcentral.
AAGUACAAGGCUUAAAGUUAAAAGAGAAACCCAAUCUCAAUAAGGAAAAAACUGAAAGUAAACAACAUCGAACCUCGGGUGCUUAGAGAGUAUUAUAAAAAAGUAAUGUAUUUCCUCCAUGUAGCUUGAGCUGGUAUGUUUUGAUUCCGAGGAUAUCCUCUUCGCUGUCGUUGCCCAAUACAAAAAUUUGCGAACCCACUAGGACACGAUGGUAGUCCAUGAAUCCAAC